GGCUGUUAACCCGGUCUUCAGAGGCAAACAGUGACCUUGGGAGAAAAAAAAAAAAAAAGACAAGGACAGGGAACAUUUUUGAAGAUUUCUCUCUCUCUUGGCAUUUCAAGGACGUUUUCUGCCGUCUGGGUGAGAGGCAACCCGGGGAAGAAAACUAGAAAGUGAAACUAACUCUCCUGGCUAGUGUCCCUGCAGGCCGCGGCCCUGCACGGCCCCUCCCUUGUCGUUGACCAGAUCUGUCAGUCAGAUGGAUGGCACGUGCCCGGCAGAGGGCUGGAGGAAAUGUCAGCGAGGAGGAUGCCGGUGGCUCGGCACCAAGAGUCGUGGUGCCCCAGCACGUCCCCACUGAGACGCCUGCAGGGCGGCAGGCACUGGGGUUUGUGCAGGUGGCCGGCCUGGGCCUCCCCCAGGCCCCGCCCUGUUGGGGUGGCCAGCCCCGACUAAAUAUAGUCCUGGAGGGCGAGGCGGCUCUCGGUUAGUUGGAAGGGUUUGCUUGCCCCGCCCCUGAUCACCGCCACCCUCCAGAUACUUGCCUACGGGGGCUCUCACCUGCUGGUCUCUUCCCCAGGCAACCAUCUCCUCUGACCUUCUUCCCCCAGGCCUUGUUUCAGGCAGACUAAGAAAGUCUACUCAUCAGUCCUGGAGUAAAACCCCCCUCCUAGAAACCUGCCCAGUGCUGGGGUGUUGGUACAGAUCACCAGUGGUGUCCAGCACCUCUUUCCCAAUUUGCGGUUGGUUUAGAAAUCUCAGGCGAUGAGGAAAUUUAUGGGAGUCAUUCGUGGGCGUGCUCUUAUUAAGAAAUAGGGUAGGACCUUUCAUUAAAACCGUGUUGCCUUAAAAAAGGGGAUAUCCAUUUAAUUCCAGGACAUCUGAUGGGAAUUGUCACCGAAAUCUCUUUUCAGAUAGCACCCUUUAAUGCAGAAGAACUGCAUUAUCUAUUUAUAGAUACUAAAAUGCAUACUAUAUUCUUUCAUUGUCAGGAUUUGAGGUGUGUGCAAUUUUUUUUAUUCAAUCUUAAGCUUUAGAUACUUUAUUUUGGGGGAAAAGUGCUUUUGUGUAUAUAUAUAUAAAAUUGUUUUUUGAUUCCACACCCCCCACACAGAAGUAUAAUUAGAACGUCUGAAACCAGAUUAUCCAAUUAGUAGUUGUUAUUUAGACGCUAAGUCGAGUCCGACUGUUUGUGACCCUAUGGACUACAGCAUGCCAGGCUCCCCUGUCCUCCACUGUCUCCCAGCGUUUGCUCAAAUUCAUGUCCAGUAAAUUGGUGAUGCUAGCCAGCAGUCUCAUCUGUAUCCAAUUAGUACAUUUUUCUAAUUAACUGUUAGGAAUUUGUGAUGAGAUAAAUUAUUUUAGAUUUCCAAUGAAACUUUGGCCACAAGGAGGUACCUGAGGGGAAAGAUCAUGGGUUUUCAGUUUUGGCUACCACCUACUCCCCUACUCCCCACGAAAUACCUAAUUUGCCUGCUGUUAGGCAGCAACAGUGACCAGGAAACAGUUUUAUUUUCCUUGUCCCGAGUAGAGUUGGAAACAUUUCUCGUUUAUGAUGGCUUCUCUCUGCUUCGGACAGUGAAGCAGGCAGAUGAAGAUGGGGUUUAAAUACUCCUUUUGUACAUUUUUCAGCAGUAACAUUGGUAGCUGUCCUUUGGACAAAAAAACAAAUUUGUGAUGAUCUGCAUUCAUUCAGUUUGUGUCUUCUUUGUGCCUUGUAUGUGCUUCCUGUGCCAGGAGGCUUGGCGAGGAGAGGGGGCAGCCUGCAGGGGUGGGGACCUCCGACCAAGACGAAGGAAUGGAGUCGGUUCACAUUUGGUAACAGUGCCUGGUGCAAGCCCCAAAUCCUUUAUCCGAAAUUCUAAACUCUGAAAACCAAAAGUUGUUUUUAUAACGAAUUUCAUGGGAAUUCUUGACCCAAACUGACUUGAGUCUAGAUUUUCCCGGGGAGCAUGAAUCUUCAUGGCUUAUCCUUGCAGAGACGUUCCUUCGUGUGAUUUCAGGGGGCUGGGGAGUGCUGCUCUGCUGGUGUGUUGCUCAGCAUGUGGCCUGUGCACCAUGUUAUCUAAGACCUGAAAACUUCUGCAGCAUGUCGGGCCAGAAGGUUUGGGGUAAGAAGAUGCAGUCCUGGAGCAGGAGCAUGCGCCUGACAAAGGCGGCUGGACCUGAGGCCUGCAGAGCCCUCUCCCCACAGACCUUGAACUCCAUGAAGGCUCACUAGGUUUUGCUCACUGUUACAUCCUCGCUGCCCAGCUGGGUGCCUGGAGCCUCCUAGGUGCGAGUGAAUGCUGGUCAGCAGUUAAGUGUUGGCCAGCUUUGUUUGGGGAAGCCAAAUAGUAAAUAUUUUAGGCUCUGGGGGCCAUGGGGCCUCUGUUGCAACUCUCUUGUCUUUCAUUUCCUAGAAUCCAUGAUACAAAGUGCUGAAGAUGCUUUAUACAAAAAAAAAGAUAUUCGCUAUGCUUAUUAUUUAUAACAGUGGCCGUUUAGAAACAACAUGAAGGAAACAGUAAGAUGCAUCACGGUGAAUCCUCCCCGUGGGAUAUUUGUCUGUGUGCGCUCAGUCAUGUCUGACUCUUUGCAACUCCAUGGACCAUAGCCCGUCAGGCUUCUCUGUCCCCAGGAUUCUGUAGGCAAGUAUACUAGAGUGGGUUGCCAUUUCCUACUCCAGGGGAUCUUCCUGACCCAGGGAUCAAACCCACGUCUCCUGUGUCUGCUGCAUUGCAGGUGGAUUCUUGACCACUUGAGCCAUCACCAUGUAAAUGAAUGAGUACCUGUGUUCUGAUAAAAUGGUGACCGUGGUUGUGGGUCUGACCUGGGGGUCCACAGUUGGCUGAUUCCUAUGAGGAGGAUAAACACACCCUAAGCCUGGACGUCUCCCCAUCUCUUAGCCCUACCGUCUACAGGCCUGGUCAGUUUGUUUCCCUGCCCCAGUGCCGUUUCCGGUAAAGAGAUACAGGCAGUGCCCACCCCCUGGUGUCUGCCUCUCCCGUGUUCAGGAAACAUGGCUGAAAGGGAGGUGCCGCGCUCCCUGGACCGGCCUGGUUCAAGGGAGUGGGUGUUCAUGUGGAUGAAUGCAUUUGGGUUCCAGUCCAGCCUUGCCAAGGGGCACUCGCACCUCCACCCGCCGAUGAGUGUUUCAGGGGCUUAGCUAACCUCAGGGUACGGGGGCCAUCAUCAUCAGGCCAGGCAGGGCUGGCAUUCAUGGGGCAUUGUGGGGGGAGCUGAGGGGGUGAGAGAGAGAGUGUUUAGGAGGCAUUCUCAGCCGGAGAAUUUCUGGCAGAGAGAUGAGUGACCGUAAACCCAGGAGCUCAGGUCUCCUGGCUGUGUUCAUCGCAGCCCAGGAGUGGCCAGCAAGGGUGGAUGGGCCAGUGACUCCAAGAAGGCUUUCCACCGCAGCGGAGGCCCAAAUCCAGCCAAGACCGCUGACUCUCACCCCCAUGGCAGGCUGACCUGGGGGCAGGGGGGUGGGUGGCUGGAAGGAGGGCAGCACUUUACAGAGCUCACAGCCCUAAGCUGAGGGCCCCUAUGCCCAGCUUCUCCAGGCCCACCCCUGCUGCUAGCCCUGGCCAUGCCCAGCAGCUCCUUCCCGAGUCCGGGCGGGACUUUCUCAAGCAAACUGCAAACAAGGGCUGGCACCUCUGGUUGGCCUUUUCUUUUCCUUCCUUUAUGGUUUUGUGAUUUGCUGGCAAUUUUCAGGUUGAGCGCCCGUACUCAGCAGCUCCCUCGGAAGCCUUGAUGACUUUUCAGCCCCCAGCAGAAGGGUGUAGCGCCCCCCACCCCCGACCCCAGUCAGCAGCGUGAGUUCAACUCAGUGUGAGGGCUGAAAGGAACCAGACUGGGGCCUGGUGUGUUUGGUGAUGUCAGAGCCAAGCCCAGGGAGGUCCCCGUCACGCACUAGCACGGUGUGGGGGAUCCUCUGGCCACUGUCCAGGGCACCCCUAUCCCCCAACCUCACUUUGUUAUUGAGCACCUCGGCCAGGCACUGCCUGUACCGUGGUGGUAAGACAGCCCAGAGCGGUGCUUCUCAAACUUGGGUGACCCUGUGAACCACACCAGGAGACUGUUAGCAAUGCAGACUCCAGGGCCCUUUGGUUGAGCUCCGGGGCCCCAGAGUCAGCAUUGUUAAUAAGCACAAGGGAUUGUGAAGUGGGUGGUUCCAGGCUGGUGCUGAGCGGGGCAGGGGUGGGGGAAUAGGCAAAGCCGUGUGAUGUGUGUGGAGUCAGGGAGCGUGGAGAAAGAAGACGGGGCUCUAACUGGGGUGGCGUGGCUGGGGUCAGGAAAGGUGAGUUGAGCCUUGAAGCACAAAGCAGGCAUGGUAGUGAUUGCUGACUCUGGAAAUCUUGAUGCUAGGCACAGCUCGAAGCCUUUAUAGGCACUGACUCAUUUAAUCCUUCCAGCAACCCCAUGAAAUAGGUAGUUACACAGAUUUUUUUUUUAAGUAUUUAUUUGGCUGCACCAAGUCCUAGGUGCGGCACAUGGGAUCUUUUGUUGCAGUGCACAGGACUAGUUCCCUGACCAGGGAUCGAACCCAGGCCCCCUGCAUUAGGAGCACAGAGUCUUAGCCACCAGGGCGGUAUCUCGUUACCCUGAUCUUGGAGCACAAAAGGGUUUAGAAGCUUGCCUGAGGUUCUUGGUUGCUAAGUGGUGAGCUGACCCUCUUUGUCCUCCUUAUCUGUUCUUCUGCACUGGGGCCGCGGCAUACAGACCGUGAGACCACGGCUGUGCAGACCGAAGGCUAGGACUUCUUUGGAUGUGGUCAUGUUGCUGAGGGAUUCAGAAGGUUUGGAUCCUUGUGUGCAGAGACGGUUUGGCUUUUUAAAAAAAAAUUUAUUUCGUUUAAAAUGUAUUUUUGGUGGUGCUGGGUCUUCAUUGCUACACGGGCUUUUCUCUAGUUGCAGCAGGCCGGGGCUCCUCUCCAGUGGUGGUGCUCAGGUUUCUCAUCGUGGCGGCUUCUCUUGACACGGAGCUUGGGCUAUAGGGUGCACAGGCUUCGGUAGUAGCGGUUCCUGGGCUUUAGAGCAUAGGCUCGAUGGUUGUGGCACAUGGGCUUAGUUGCUCUGCAGUGUGUGGGAUCUUCCUGGAUCGGGGAUUGAACCUGUGUCCUCUGCAUCUGCAGGCAGAUUCUUUUUCACUGAGCCACCAGGGAAGCCCGGCAGUUUGGCUGUUGCUGGUGGAGUAUAUGCAGGAUGAUCUUGGUUAGGGCUAAAAGUUGUAGCGAGGUAACAGCUGCUAUAAUGUAGCUUUGAGAGGCAGCUGGGAUUUGGCACAGGUGUUCUCCCUUUGAAUGAGGCAGGACCCUGGCAUGUGGGAAGACGGUGCAGAGCGCACGGGGCAGCGAGGCCUGUGCCCCAACACCCCAUCUCCACCUGCUCCUCCGAGAGGGAGGAAUUCUCCACCGCCCAAGUCCUCAGAGUCUCCCAGGGAGCCUGGCCCAGCUCUAGGGGUCUGAGGGCAAGGGGGAAGCUGCUUGGACAGGGGAAGACAGUGUUGGGAGCCAGCCCAAACCUUUGUAUGCUAUCCUUCCUUCAGUCUUCACAUCACCCUGCAAAGGAGGCCAUUCGUUCUGUUUACCCACGCGCAAGCCAAGGCACACAGAAUCUAAGCAACUUAGACGCCACCACACAGCAAGUAAGCGGGUAGUGGAGCCUGGUCUGUUUCCUGUGGGACAUACUUUACAGCAGGGUCCGCCUUAUUCUGAGAGGCCACAUGUCCUGCUGCACCCACAGUGGGGCUGGUGACCGGGGGCCCCUGAGGAGUGGGUGCAGUGCCCGGCUGGGUAGGGCAGGCUCCCAGCAGCCAGCUGAGCCCAGCUCUGGGUGGGAUGGCCUAGCUUCAGGGGAUGCAUUACUGGCUGACCGGUGGCAUUCCGAGGAUGCCAAAGGUCUGGGGUCUAUGGGAGUGGUCAGCUGGGGUCUUCCUAGUCUAGGGCCCUAAUGCUGGGAGCUGAGCCUCUGCUGUUCUGACAGAGGCCAGGUGACCCUUCCCUCGGGUCUUCUGGCUUUGCCUAGGUCUUGGGACCCCCUCGUCCACUUGGGAUUCUGCCAGGACUCUAGCCUACGGCUCCCUGUGGACAGAAGGCGUUGGGUUCCAAGUUGGCUCUGGGUGGACCAAGGGCUGGUCUCUCCUGGGAGCGCCUGGGGCGUGGGGCAGUGAAGCCAGCCACUGUCCAGGCUGAGAAUUGUGCCACCGUGGAGACCCUACAGCCACCCCACCUGCCACAGAACUUCCUGUGGGCUGGGAGGGGUGGGCCAGUGUCGGGGAGGGGUCACUGUUUCUACCUUGGUUCACCUGGGUCAGCUGGCUGACUCCUUCCUCACCUGGAGAGUGCUCAAGGACAGCAAGAAAAAUGAGGGACUUUCAGGGGCAGCUGUGUUUUCUGACUCAGUCAUAAUGCCCCUAAAAAUCCUUAUUGUUCUUGCAGUGUGCAUCAGGCGGCGGCCCCAGCCCAGCCCUUGCCCACCUGGCCCCUCUGGGAUGGGGAGAACUACCUGGGGUUCAGCUGGCGUGUCCUCCCACGUUGUCCUGAUGCGAGACUGUAGGGGGAUUUGCUGAUGAGUUAAUGUUUUGUUGGUUGAUGCAUUGAUUGGCAUGUACUUUUAUAAUUUCUUUUUUGGUGGAGGAUGGGGUAGGCUGGGCAUCGAGACACUCGCACACAGAUCGGAGCCCCGGAAAAUGCAAGGUCUCCCUGGUUUGUGCGCAGUGAGGGGUCCCUAGAACCUAGCUGCACAUUACAACCUGAGGAAGGGGGGCUUCAAGGGCAGGUGUACCCAGGGCUAGGUCAUGUCCUACUCUUGAUGGCCCCAUGGACUGUAGCCUGCCCGGUUCCUUUGUCCAUGGAGUUUUUCAGGCAGGAAUACUGGAGUGGGUUGCCAUUUCUUUCUCCAGGGGAUCGUCCCGACCCAGGGAUUGAACCUGCAUCUCCCACAUUGGCAGGCAGAUUCUUUACCACUGAGCCACCUGGGAAGCCCCAUUUAGGGGCACUGUGUUUUAAAACGGGAGGAGCCUCAGUGUGCACCCUGAGGCCGCUGAGCUGGCCGUUUUGCAAAUCUGCCUGCAGUGGACCGAGGUCUUCCCGCAGCUGUUGCCCCUAGAGCCUGCUUUCUCUUGGGCGGGUGGUCUCUACCCUGUCUCACUUCCUGGGUCUCCACCUUGCCCAGCAGGUGCCUCAACCAGUUAUUUUGCAUGUUUUGGGUAGAACUGGGGUUCCUGGGGGAUGGUCAAGCAGAAAUACAAGUUGGUGACAUGUCUUCCUGAACACAAGAACACCAUUCAACAAAGAUGUCACUAAACGCCACAGCCACACAAUCAUCCGCUCUGGCUGAGGCUGGGCAGGUGGCCAGCCCACGGAGGGACGGACAGGGAGGUGGCCGGGCAGUAAGCAGGACUGAGCCUGCUCCCGGGGGCGCCCCCCCGGGGUCUCAAUGGCCUCCCAGGUCAGCCGAGGAAUUCAUCCUUAAGGUAUUGCUCAGGCUCCCUCCCCAGGUGCCGACUCGCACGUUCCACUCGCUGCAUGUGGGACUCUGGCCGCCAGGAUCCUCCUUCCUCCUGGCCAGCCCCAGCCGCCCACUCCUCCUCAGGCUCCUGUGAUCCCAGCUGUGUCUCCAUCCCAGCCCCAGAGACAAUUUUUAAGGAGCUUCAACAUUCUUCUGUCCAGGGGAAGGGACGGCUCCAAGAUGGAGGACCGAGGCUCAGGAGACUCCCCAGAGGACACACAGCAAGGAUGCGGCCAAGCUGGGGUAUAGACAUGCGGUUUCUGACUCCAAGGCCAGUGCUCUUUCUGUAAUUGCUAUUUAUAGGAAGCAUAUGUCGUUAGACCCAGAUGUGGUCAUCACAGCCUCCUGAGCUAACACACAGAGCCUGUGAGAUCGCAGAAAAGCAGCCUUGGGUCUUGAAUGAGUCUGGGGCCCGUCCCUGAUGGCCUGGCGCCUAUUGAGUGGAGGUGUCUGAAGUAGGAAUGAGUGGUAACACUGCCUUCUGGGUACAUGGAGAGAGGUGAGGACCAUCUGUCGAUUUUCCUGACCCAAGGUCCUCUGCCCUUUCAUGUUUUCCUCUGGGGGUUACUCCUCCCAACCCCUGAGGUUUGCAUGGGGCCAGCCCCAUCCCCUGGCUUUAGAGGCUGGCAUGUGUCCCAGCUGGAAACUGAGCUGCCCUCCUUGGGAUUUCUGCAGCAGCCAUGGGGAAAGAGGCAUUCACUUUUCAUGGGAGUUGCCGGGUUGACGGAACUUCUGGUGACCACUCUUGUUCUCCACUUGAGGACGAAGCCAACAAAAAGGAAAGAAGAAAGAGGUGGAAAAAGUAUGCUGUCCAGAUAUCAGUAAGCUGCUGGACCCAGCCAUGCCUGAAACUGACCACAUCUCUGGACUAAUCUGAUUAUAUGAGCCAAUGAAUGCGUUUCAUUUUUCUAAAACUAUCCUGAGCUGUGUUUCUGUCAUAGAAAGGGUCCUAAGAAAACUAUAUUUUUAUUUGGUCUCAUUAAAAAAAAAUCAACCUUAAGGUAUACUUUACAUGCAGCCAUUUAAAAAUGUCCAAUUUAUACAUUUUUUCAAAUGUGUACACCCUUGUAAUUACUACCGCAGUCGAGUUGUAGAACAUUUAAGGUUCCCCAUUCCCCUUUAUGGUGAGUUCUCCUGACCCCAACCAACCACUGACCUGCCUUUGUCCUAGAGAUUUAUUCAGUCUUCUCUUGGUUCAGGUCCCUGGAGGUUGAGGAGAGCAUUUCCUCGAUGCUCAGAUUAUGGAUCAACCUGGGUCAUUUCUCCUGGGACUCAGAGUCACCCCUGGUCCAACUAUGCUGAAGCCAGAUGCACCUCAGUUUUGUGGUUCAAUACAGCCUUCCCUUCGUUUGAGCCAGCUCUCCACAGAAGAGUCCUGGCUGAUGGAGCUUAACCACCGCACCCUUCAGUAAAGCUCCGCCCAAGAACCUCCAGGCAAAACCAACUAAUGGUCAGUGCAGCUCACCUCCUGGGAGCCAGACACUAGCAAGUGCUUUACACGCAUUAUCUCAAGUCUUCUCAGCAACCCUUGGGAGGUGCUGUGAGCCCCACUUCACUGGGGUGUGGGUGUGUUGCAUACCUGGGCACCUCUGCACCUCCUCUGUCCACCAGGUUCCUGACUUGUCCCACAGCUGAAGCUGACCCCUCCCAGACCACAUGCCAGGGUAAGGGGGCUGGAUCCCGAAGGGCCAAAGAGGCUGAAGAACUCAAGCCAUACACGUGGAGGGAGUUCGUUUUCGGGACGAACUUUGAGCCGUAGCUUAAGAACCUUCGGCAGAAAAGAGCUCAGGAGGCCCUGUCGUCAGUAACCUAGUACACCUUUCAGAUCUUGUGGUCACACAAUACCUUGCCUAACCUGCUGGUUCUUCCCACAGAUCAAAGAAGUAGAAAUGAAGAAUAAGUAAUUACCAGGUGGCCAGAUCUCUUCCCCAGCUUCCCCUUCAGUAAUCUCACGAACAAAUGGUGGGAACAAGAUAGCAUCUAACAAGAAAGAUCACAAGUCGACAGGCCUGCACACAGCUGGGGAUCAGGACACCUCUGACCCCCUCCAUCCGUGAUUAACUGAGCUGACUUCCCUUUCCCCCCUUAGAAACUUCCAUGGCCACGCAGACUCUUCAGAGCUGGUUUUGGCGGAACACCUGAGUGCACCAUCUCCCCAGACUGCCGGCAUUCCGAUUAAAAGGAACUUUCCUUUCUAUCAACAACUGCUUCUUGGGUGUUGAUUUCCAAGCAGCUGGACUGAGUUUGGAAACAGCAGAUGAGACAGGAGGAUAAAUUCCUUCAUCCUCCAUCCCUUGGACCACUUGAGGCACAUCUUGCAGAUGGGGUUUGUUGUAUGGUCGUUACACGUCACCUUGCUUUGCUUCCUGUUCUUCCCGACCUCCUUUCUCUCAUCCCUCCCUCUAGCUGCCCUGGAAUUCCACUUCCAAGUUCAUGUAUCAGCCCUUAAUCCCUUGCCAGAGGGCCCACUCUCUAGGGAACUCAGCAGUCUGACGCCUGGGUCUGCACUACACGGCCUCAGUGAAUGCUGACCAAGAGGACAGAUACACGAUGGAUCAUGGCCAUGGGGUUGGGGCCUGAGGAGGGAAUACGGGUGGUACCAAAUUCACCAUCAGAGAUACCAGUGAUAAAGGCGUCCCCGUCAUCUCUCCUGUUCCAUUCACUGGGUCUAAUCAGUCAAAUCCUGACUCCAUGCUAUAGGUCAGAGACUGUGGCGUCCCCCACUAACCUGUGUCCAGUACGAAACAGUCCGUACUCCUUAUCCAUCACUCUCUGGGUAUGUGAUGCUGGCAAGGUGCCCAGCCUCUCUGAGCUGCCUUCCCCAUCUGUACAGUGGGGAUAAGACUGGGCUCACCACCUGGAACUGUGGAGAUGCCUAAUGGACACUAGGUUUGUGCCUAAAGCCGAGUAGGGGGAGGGCAUCGUGGAGGCUACCUGUCCAAUAGCGGUCCUGCUUUCUUUUGAGAAGCACCCCUCCUUCCUUCUGUCCCUACUGGGUAAAUAGGGCUGUCCCACCCCUACUGCCAGAUCCAGGCCAAUCCACACAUCUCUAUUGACCACAAGAUUGGAUCAGGCCUGGGCAUGAGACCCAAGUCAGACCAGUCCCUGCCACAGUUCCCUGAAGUUUCUGGAACAAUGAAAGAGGUGUUUGCUCUUUGCUUUUAGCCUGGAGCCACCAGAGGCCAUUUUUUCCUAUUUGCACACGUGAGAAUGAAUGUCAGUGCAGUGACGUCAGAAGAUAGCAAUGCCAAGAGAUGGAGCAGGACGCGAACUCUGGUGAUGGUCUUGGAGCUCCCAGAUCUACCAUGCCAGCAGCUAGGGAACCCCUGGUAUUUUUAGAAAUUAAAACAUAGGCAAAAAUUUUCCAUUUCAGUUGCCUAAGUCAGUUCAAGUUCCAUUUCUGUUACUUAAAACUGAAAUAGUCUUGGGUCUUACCUUGUGGGCCAGUGGUGAAGAAUCCACCUGCCAAUUUAGGGGACAUGGGUUCAAUCCCUGGUCCAGAAAGAUCCCACAUGCCACAGGGUAACUAAGCCCACCCUCUAGAGCCCAUGCUUCUUUUGUUGAAGAAGAAGCAUGUUUGCUUUUGUAACAAGAAGCUUGUUUGCAGGCAACGGUGAAGAGCCUGCGACUAGAAAAAGCCUGAGCCCAAGCAACAAAGAGCUCCUGCACCUCAUUAGAGACCCAGCGCAGCCAAAAAUAAUUUCUUAAAAAACUGAAAUGCUCUUGACCAAUACUAUAGGUUCUUUAUAAAUGAUCACUGCCAUUAUUGCAAUUACUAAUGUUAUAAACACAUUCCUAGGAAGAUGCAGCCUUGGGGACAUAUAGGCCAGGCUCCCCAAGGGUCACUGCUGCUCGCCACACAUUAUACUAACCCUGGAUAUGAGCUCCCCAAGGGCGGGGGAUUCAUGUUUGCUACUGAUAUAUCCCAGGUGCCUGAUGUCUGCACAAGGUAGGUGAUUCAUAGACACCCACUGAAUGAACAAAUGGAGUUGGCCCACUGCCCCCUGGCCCCCAGGCCUGGCUUCACGUUUUGCCCUCUGUCCUUGGCUGUCAUCUGAACCCACUGGGGUGUUCUGCAGGAGUCUGUCUUGGCAAACUGAUCUGUUUCCACAGUGUCCUUCCUAGGGCCUCACUCAUCCCUUCAUCUGCUCAUGCACUCAAGUUUCCAAAAUCCUUAUUAGAAAUGUCCAUUAUGGAUCAUGGCUUUCACAAAAAUUACCUCAAAGUGAAUCAAACACUUAAGUGCAAAACUGGAAACCAUAAAACUCUUAGAAGAAAAAAUAGGGACAAAGCUCCUUGACAUGGGUCUUGGCAAUGAUUUUUUUAGAUAUGAGACCUGAAACACAAGCAUCAAAAUAAAACCAAGUGGGACUAUAUCACACUGAAAUGCUUCUACACAACAAAAGAAAUAAUGAAAAGACAACCUAUGAAAUGGGAAAAAGUAUUUGCAAACUAUAUAUCUGAAAGGGGUUAAUAUUCAAAAUAUAUCAAGAACUACAAGUCCAUAGCAAAGUAGUAAUGAUGCUGCUGCUAUAAUUAACACAGGACCUGAAUAAACACUUUUUAAAGACGUGGCCAACAGGUACAUGAAAAGAUGCUCAACAUCACUAAUCAUGAGGGAAAUGAAAAAACCACAGUGAGAUAUCACCUCACACCUGUUACCAUGACAAUCAUCAAAAGACUGAUAAGUGGAGAAGCGGGAACCCUUGUGCACUCUCAGUGGGAGUGUAAGUUGGUGUAACCACUAUGGAAAACAGCAUGGCGGUUCCUCAAAAAAUUAGAACUAUCAUAUGUAGAACUUCCAUAUGACCCAGCAAUUCCACUUCUGGAAAUAUAUCUAAAGCAAAUGAAGACACUAUGUCAAAGAGGUAUCAACCCCCAUGUUCAUAGCAGCAUUAUUUACAACAGCCAAGACAUGCCAACAAAGACACUGGUGUGCCCACACACAAUUAUAUACAUGCAUACAGUGGAAUAUUAGUCAUAAAAAGAAGGAAAUACUGCCCUUUGUGACAACAUGAAUAGACCGUGAGGGCAAUAUGCCAGGCAAAACCGGUCAGAUAAACACUAUGAUAUCACAUAUAUAUGUGUGUGUGCAGCCUAAAACAACAAACAAAAGGCCAAAUGCAUAGAAAAAAAAGAUUUGUCAUCUGUGCAAGAGUGGGGUGCUGUGGGGAGGCGGAAACAGGAGGCAGUCAGAAGUACAAACUUUGAGUUAUAAGACAAAUACCUAAGGAUGUACUAUAGAACAUGAUGGCUAUAGCUAACACCACCGCAUGGUAUAUUUGAAAGUUGUUAGGAGAUGGGCUUCCCAGGUGGCGCAGUGGUAAAGAAUCCACCUGUCAAUGCAGGAGACGCAAGAGACUUGGAUUCAAUCCCUGGGUCAGAAAAAUCCCGUGGAGUAGGAAAUAGCCAUCCACUCCAGUAUUUUUGUUUGUUUUGAUAGAUAAGAAGUGGAUUUAUUCAGAGAAACACACUGUGCAGACGGAGUGUGGGCCAUCACAGAGGGUGCCACUCCAGUAUUCUUGCCUAAGAAAUCCCAUGGACAGAGGAGCCAGGUGGGCUACAGUCCACAUGGUUGCAAAGAGUUGGACAUGACUGAGCACACAAGAGACGAGAAACUUAACACGAUAUUGUAAAUCAACUAGACUUCAGUUUUUUUUUAAAAAAGUAGAUCAUAAGAGUCACAAGGAAGAAAAGCUUCAUCUUUUUAUUUUACCUACAUAAAAUGACAGAGGGAAUUCCCAGGUGAUCCAGUGGUUAGGACUCCACGAUUCCACUGCAGGGGGUCAUAGGUUUGAUCCCUGGUCAGGGUCUCGCGUGCCAUGGGAACCAGGGAGAGAUGAGCAAAGUGAACAAUGCUUUGCCUGCCUUCUAUUCUAAUAGAAUAGGGAGCUUCUAUUCUAAUGGGGAUGUAUGUUGACAAUUUUGGUACAAUAAGGUUAUUUUAGGCAUUUGGAUAAUUUUCUGGUAUCCUUCUACAGGCCAGAUAAUGGAAUUAAAGAGUGUAUUUUGGUUUUAAGCUAAACUGGGACUAAGCUGUUUAGCUAUCUUCAAAGAAGGUGGAAAGAGGGGCCGAGUCCCUACUGAAAGGAUGCACAGCAAACUGGGAGCAGGUCUAAAACUCAUACCCCGGUCUGUUGCGUCACAUGUGGCGCUGGUCUGGAGGCAGGGUGGUGGAGCAGAGAGGGUUUGGGUUCUGAGAACUGGUGAUCUGGACUUGAAUCUAGGAGCUGCCGUUUAUAAACAGUGGGAUCUCGGGUAACAACACCCCACCAUCUCCUCUGCCGGUUCAUACCCCACCUUGGUAAAGUUUUUUACACUGUUCCUGUUAUUGACAUUCACAUCCUCUUCUGCUCCACAAUCAAGUCUUUAUUGCUUUCUCCACAGGUCGACUCAAAAGAUGAAAAGCCUUGAAAUAGCAUUUAUGUGACUACAAUUGUUAAAUAUCAUUUAUUGUAAACACCUCCUUUUAACUGAAGCUAGUUGGACUGAGACUUGUGUUUGGUCAUGUUUUGUUGAACUGGAUGAGAUGUAUCCCCAGGCCUCUGGGACAGAAGCUCCCCCUGGGCCUGUUUCUUGGGCCUAUGACCCAGGGCCUGUGUUCAGAAGGGCCCUAUGCUUGGUUUGAUGCUUUGCUGUUGCUAUCUUGAAAUUCUAGAUACUUUUGAGCACAAGGUCCCACAAUUAUGUGGCCAGUCCUAAGCUCACAACCUUGAUGCUAGAGGCCAAAGUGGUCUGAGAAACUCCCUUGUUGCACACCUUCCUUUGGGAGGAAAGCAGGGACCUUAGGCAGGCCCUGAAGUAGCCAGGAAAAAUUAAAGUGAUACGCUGUGGACCUGAGUGAUGGCUUGUGAGUGUGCUCCACGUGGCGAUGUCAGGCUGCCCUGCUUCAAGUUCCCUCUUAAACAGUAGCUGAAAGGUCGGUGAACCGUGGGCUGCACGAAGGAGGUAGGGCUAUCCUCAUGAGGGCAUCAGGGCUGAAUGGUCUGCCCAAGGUCCCACAGCUUAUAAACGGCAGGUCCUAGGUUCAAGACCAGGUCACCAGUUGUGAGACACAAACCCUCUCAGCUCCACCAUGCUGCCUCCAGACCAGUGCCACAUGAGAUGCAGCAGACCUGGGUGUGAGUUCUAGACCUGCUCCCAGAGCUGUGUGUCCUUUUGGCAGGAACUUGCCCUCUCUGAACACUUAGCCCAGAGCCUGAGGGAGUGGAUAAACUCCCUUUCAAACAAUCACUAUGUAACUAAUGAAGAGAAAAGCAUUUCUGCUAUAGACAGAUUUCAGCUAAUGAAAGCAGAAGGAAUGAAAUACGAUACCACUUGGCAGCCCCUGACGAACUGUUUGAAUGGCAGCUAGCAUGUUAAAAGCAAAUCAGAUACCGUGGACCUCCUGAUAAAAGAUCUCAACACCACCUUGCCAAUCUCAACACAGUUUUGCCAAAAAACAAAACAAACGAAUCAGAUCUGCUUCUAAUAACCAGUAGAACAAAGGAUAGAAGAACACGUCCAACUACACCACAGGGCAGCAAUCGACAAAGCCCAGAUGGAGUGAAAGGCAACCAGAUAAACAACUCGUUUCUUCCAACAAAUGAAACAAAACACUUGGCCCAAAACACUCAAAAGACAUACUGACCAAUUAUACCUUCUUUGGAUUGAAAUGUAAAUAAACUCUAAAAAGAUAACUAUGUCACAACUGGAAA
Bubalus bubalis (water buffalo) is the source of this 15178-nucleotide long non-coding RNA. RefSeq lists it as uncharacterized. The transcript has 3 exons. NCBI's taxonomy places the organism in Eukaryota, Metazoa, Chordata, Mammalia, Artiodactyla, Bovidae. The record is from RefSeq and is a predicted model, not a curated record.